GACGAACGCUGGCGGCGUGCUUAACACAUGCAAGUCGAACGGAAAGGCGCUGCUUUUGUGGGGUGCUCGAGUGGCGAACGGGUGAGUAACACGUGAGUAACCUGCCCUUGACUGUGGGAUAACUUCAGGAAACUGGGGCUAAUACCGGAUAGGAUCUCCUGCUGCACGGGGGGGGUUGGAAAGUUUCGGCGGUUGGGGAUGGACUCGCGGCUUAUCAGCUUGUUGGUGGGGUAGUGGCGUACCAAGGCUUUGACGGGUAGCCGGCCUGAGAGGGUGAACGGCCACAUUGGGACUGCGAUACGGCCCAGACUCCUACGGGAGGCAGCAGUGGGGAAUAUUGCGCAAUGGGCCGAAGUCUGAUGCAGCAACGCCGCGUGCGGGAUGACGGCCUUCGGGUUGUAAACCGCUUUCGACUGUGCCGAAGCGUGAGUGACGGUAAUGGGUAAAGAAGCACCGGCUAACUACGUG
RNAcentral lists this ribosomal RNA (468 nucleotides) under uncultured bacterium. RNAcentral's name for it is "partial 16S ribosomal RNA". It matches the Rfam family "Bacterial small subunit ribosomal RNA", at positions 28 to 507 of the family's 1533-position model. The record is from RNAcentral.